This 497-nucleotide ribosomal RNA is filed under the name uncultured bacterium. Its description in RNAcentral is "partial 16S ribosomal RNA". It matches the Rfam family "Bacterial small subunit ribosomal RNA", at positions 28 to 507 of the family's 1533-position model. The record is from RNAcentral.
GAUGAACGCUGGCGGCGUGCCUAAUACAUGCAAGUCGAGCGAACAGACGAGGAGCUUGCUCCUCUGACGUUAGCGGCGGACGGGUGAGUAACACGUGGAUAACCUACCUAUAAGACUGGGAUAACUUCGGGAAACCGGAGCUAAUACCGGAUAAUAUAUUGAACCGCAUGGUUCAACAGUGAAAGACGGUUUUGCUGUCACCUAUAGAUGGAUCCGCGCCGCAUUAGCUAGUUGGUAAGGUAACGGCUUACCAAGGCAACGAUGCGUAGCCGACCUGAGAGGGUGAUCGGCCACACUGGAACUGAGACACGGUCCAGACUCCUACGGGAGGCAGCAGUAGGGAAUCUUCCGCAAUGGGCGAAAGCCUGACGGAGCAACGCCGCGUGAGUGAUGAAGGUCUUCGGAUCGUAAAACUCUGUUAUUAGGGAAGAACAAAUGUGUAAGUAACUAUGCACGUCUUGACGGUACCUAAUCAGAAAGCCACGGCUAACUACGUG